Molecule: non-coding RNA, 63 nt
Organism: Oryza glumipatula
Lineage: Eukaryota; Viridiplantae; Streptophyta; Magnoliopsida; Poales; Poaceae
Source: Rfam
GUCAAGAUGGCCGAGUUGGUCUAAGGCGCCAGUUUGGCAUGGGUUCGAAUCCCAUUCUUGACA